Molecule: small RNA, 509 nt
Filed under: Pongo abelii (Sumatran orangutan)
Lineage: Eukaryota; Metazoa; Chordata; Mammalia; Primates; Hominidae
Description: processed transcript
Source: RNAcentral
GUCUGAUCUCUUUUCUAACCACACCUGGAAGAUGGGAUGCUGGACCCAGGAGGAAAGGCCAUGUAAAGACAGAGAAAAGGCUGCCCUCUGCAGGCCAGGAAGAGAGGCCUCACCAGAAACCAACUUGGACUUCUAGCAUCUAGAACUUGAGAAACUGGAAUGCUACUCCAGAAGAAGACGAAUCAGUGCCUCUGUACAAAGGGAUCUUUGUGUUGCCAAAAGAGUAGAAAAGUUUAUCCCAGAACCAAAAUAUUUCAGAAUUGUGGAAAAUCAAGUUUUGGACACCUACUCAAAAGAGAAGAAAUAUUGCUAUCACAGAAUCCCUGAAUUAGUAUACACCUAGCUGCUAUAACAAAGACGCUCAAAAACAUAAAUGACACUGUAAAAGAAGUUUAUUUCUUGUUCACAUAACUGUCCAAGGCUGGUGUUCCUGGGAAACAUCCAGUUCUCUUCCAUGCAAUGAUUCAAGGACACAGAGUUCUUCCAUCCUGUGACUCUACCAUCCCCUA